UGGGGAAUAUUGCACAAUGGGCGCAAGCCUGAUGCAGCCAUGCCGCGUGUAUGAAGAAGGCCUUCGGGUUGUAAAGUACUUUCAGUCGGGAGGAAGGUGGUAAGGUUAAUAACCUUAUCAAUUGACGUUACCGACAGAAGAAGCACCGGCUAACUCCGUGCCAGCAGCCGCGGUAAUACGGAGGGUGCAAGCGUUAAUCGGAAUUACUGGGCGUAAAGCGCACGCAGGCGGUUGAUUGAGUCAGAUGUGAAAUCCCCGGGCUUAACCCGGGAAUUGCAUCUGAUACUGGUCAGCUAGAGUCUUGUAGAGGGGGGUAGAAUUCCAUGUGUAGCGGUGAAAUGCGUGGAGAUGUGGAGGAAUACCGGUGGCGAAGGCGGCCCCCUGGACAAAGACUGACGCUCAGGUGCGAAAGCGUGGGGGGCAAACAGG
This 429-nucleotide ribosomal RNA is filed under the name Chloroflexota bacterium. RNAcentral describes it as "Chloroflexi bacterium partial 16S ribosomal RNA". It matches the Rfam family "Bacterial small subunit ribosomal RNA", at positions 355 to 776 of the family's 1533-position model. Lineage: Bacteria; Bacillati; Chloroflexota. The record is from RNAcentral.